RNAcentral lists this RNase P RNA (348 nucleotides) under Candidatus Saccharimonadota bacterium. Its description in RNAcentral is "RNase P RNA component class A". It matches the Rfam family "Bacterial RNase P class A". Rfam says of the family: Ribonuclease P (RNase P) is a ubiquitous endoribonuclease, found in archaea, bacteria and eukarya as well as chloroplasts and mitochondria. Its best characterised activity is the generation of mature 5'-ends of tRNAs by cleaving the 5'-leader elements of precursor-tRNAs. Lineage: Bacteria; Candidatus Saccharimonadota. The record is from RNAcentral.
GCAGCGUGCUGGACGAUCGCUUGUGAGGUAUAGCCACAUAAGAGGAAAGUCCGGGCAGCGUAGAACGGGACAGUCGCUAACGGCGACCGGGGGCAACCCUAGGGAAAGUGCCACAGAAACGAUACCGCCUCUUCGGAGGUAAGGGUGAAAGGAGUGAGGUAAGAGCUCACAGCGACGUGCGGUGACGCACGGAGGAGGUAAACCCUGUCCGCUGCAAGGAGAUGCGCGAGUAGUAUGGGCUGUUCGUCCGCUCGUGUAUCGUCAAGAUCCGCUCGAUCAUAUAGGCAACUAUAUGGCUAGAUAGAUGAUCGUCCUCGACAGAACCCGGCUUACAGGCAGGCUGCCAAC